GGCGCUUUUGGUUUUGGUUUUGUUUCGGUGAGGCAAGAUUAAAGUUUCUGAAGAUGAUGAUGAAAAAUAUGAUAUUUGUAAUUUACCAUUUAUAAUCUAGUUUCUCCCCUCCCCCCCCAUAUAUAAAGCUGCACUUUCAAUAUUAGGGGUUUUCUCUCUAUAGCUGUAUUGUAAGUUAAAGUGAGCAGAGAUUUGCAGCUUGGAGUACAGUAUUUCUCACCUACUGCUGUAUUACUUGUUGGUAGCCUGGAUCCUGGUUUCUUCUCUUUUUUUCCCUAGGAGCUGCCUUGUCUUUCUGAAGUGCUUUUUGCUGUGCGAUAGUCACCUAUAUGAAAUUCUUUGCACAAAUUCACAGUGAAUCGUGUGUCAAAUUCUAGUUUUCUUCCUUCUCGAACAGGGAUUUUCUUUCUACCUACACUGGGCUGUUGCUGCUGCUUCCUUUUUUCUCUCUGGUGCUCAGCUGAUAUUACUGAAGUUUUGCAACAGGCUUUGAGGACUGGGAAGCUCUUCAGAUGUCAAGUCCGCUAUGCAAAAAGUUGAACAGAUCUGCUUAGUGGGAACCUUGUCAUCUUUGUUGUCCAGCAGUUUAAUGUCAGUCGCAAUGAAAUGCAAGAACUAGCACCUGAACCCUGCUGUAUCCAAGGAUGUAUCCUAAAGCACACUGCCUUGUUUUCCAGCCUCAGCUGUGCUUACUUCACAUCCAUACCAUGCAUAUGUUCAGCAUGCUGCCUGUCCAGUCGCAAGGCAGCCUGUUUCCAACAGCACCAUACCUACUGCAGAGUGUGCUGAGCUCUACUUCACCCACCCAAUCAAUGCUGAGAAACAGGAAAGAAAUGUCAGGUAAUUCCUAGGGCUUCUGAACUAUUGCUUCAUAAAAGGCAUUAUUUUCUCCCAUUGUCUGCCAGGUUAGUUUUCAUGGUGCUGAGAGGCUUUACAGAUCAAGCUGAAGUGUUCAUGGCCUUGCCAUACCAGGCCUGAAGGGAAGUAUGAUACUGCAUUGAGGGUGAUAAGGAAUGGGGAUGUGAAGGGAAAUUUGUCAGUGAAAAAUGCAGAGUUUGAAUAUCCUUAUGUUCCAUGUAGAAACAAACAGUACUGGUGUCACAGCUCUGUACGAGGAGGCAUCAGUAAAACACAUAGCCAUUUUAUUUUCCCUAGUUUAAAGUGUUUGCAGGGAUCUGGGAGGGGCACAGCUGCUUUGAGGCUCUCCAAUACCAGAGACACAAGGCUUGUGGAAUAGUUUAUUUAUCUGGUGAAAUGGUGCACAAGGUUU
Molecule: long non-coding RNA, 1270 nt
Organism: Gallus gallus (chicken)
Lineage: Eukaryota; Metazoa; Chordata; Aves; Galliformes; Phasianidae
Exons: 3
Source: RefSeq, a predicted model, not a curated record